RNAcentral lists this small nuclear RNA (22 nucleotides) under Arabidopsis thaliana (thale cress). RNAcentral's name for it is "snRNA_00371". Lineage: Eukaryota; Viridiplantae; Streptophyta; Magnoliopsida; Brassicales; Brassicaceae. The record is from RNAcentral.
GACUCUAAACUCUAUCGUUAGA